AAGUAAGAAGCGAUUAAUUGCAGUCAGUUUCGACCUGCCCUUAGGUAUAUACCAUACCCUUACUUU
This 66-nucleotide transfer RNA is filed under the name Rhopalopsole bulbifera. Its description in RNAcentral is "tRNA-Arg". Lineage: Eukaryota; Metazoa; Arthropoda; Insecta; Plecoptera; Leuctridae. The record is from RNAcentral.